This 29-nucleotide non-coding RNA is filed under the name Mus musculus (house mouse). The record is from RNAcentral. Lineage: Eukaryota; Metazoa; Chordata; Mammalia; Rodentia; Muridae.
UAGAAUAUCCCGUAAAAUGCCAUUCUGCC